Molecule: long non-coding RNA, 1645 nt
Filed under: Mus pahari (shrew mouse)
Lineage: Eukaryota; Metazoa; Chordata; Mammalia; Rodentia; Muridae
Description: predicted gene 10851 (MGP_PahariEiJ_G0002721.1)
Source: RNAcentral
UGUGACUCCGCACUUAGAACCUGAGACCAGAGUGGGCCCACGAGGAUCCACGGUGCACAGGAUGCAUCUGCUAUGAAGCAAGCGGAGUCCCUGCAGAGUUGGGGAAAGCGUAGCACCCGCUGUACCCUCUGUCCGCAUACCCUGACCCCAGCCAGACUUCUGACCUGACGGCAAACUUCACCCCGACCUGGGCAGGAUCCAGCUGAGUCAGACUGACAUCUCUCCCCCCAGACAGAGAGGAGGAGCGGGCCCGGAUGGACUACAACUUGCAUCACACAACGAAGGCUGGCAGUUGCUGCCCUGCCCUACCAAAGGGCAGCCACCUUGUGCUUCCAAGUAGAGCACAGAGCCAUGGCACAGAGUCCCAGCCUGUGAGAACCUGGGCAGGGCCCACCAUGCCAGAGAAAGCAGAGCCCGGCUACAGAGGAGACUCUCAGACCAGACCUACUGCCUGGAAGAAUCAGAAGCCAGCUCAGACACCUGGAGUUUUAGAGCAACUGGGGCACCUGAAAAGGACACCCCCUGAUCUGUUGAGCUGCCUGUGCAAUGUGCCCCAGGUUUGUCAGCCUUUGUGAGCUGGGGUGGGCUUUGUUGAUGCAGCUGUCUUUGCGUAACUUCUGCUCCUGUAAGCAACCCCUCAUCGAUGCUUCUGAAAAGUUUUGUCUCAUAACACUAUCAGCUGUUAGAUAAGACACUUAAGUAUUCAGCGUCUUGGUAUCAUUGCAAAGGUGUAACAAAGAACCCUUGCUUCCUGGAUUCAAAGAAACAAUGUUUGUAGAUACACAGAAUGUUGGUGCCUUAGGAAUUAGUGGGCAUCCUACUUUCUUCUCAAGCUUUGAUGUUGACCCUGUGGGAAGGAGGGAGAGCAAGGCCCAACACUGCUUCUACUCCAAGCACAGCCCAUGCCUACACUUCCUUCCUCAGCAAAGUUUGAUUCUUUUGGCUGCAUCAGCCCCUUCCCCUCUGCUGAAGUGGGCCACAGAAGCCAUCUGGACCAUGAGGCAAGCCAACAUUGGGAAAUCUACUACACUUCCUUGAUGGGAACAGUCCCAGCAAAUGUGCCAAUGACUUCACUGAGUGAGCAAGCAGGGACUUCCUUGCGAUCUCAAACCCAGGACCACAGUGUUCCAGCAGACGGCAGAGCAUCUGUCCCUGACACCUGGUGGUUUUCAGGUUUCCCUCAGUGACUCAGACAAGGCCAAAGAGGCAAAGGCGCCCAACUCACGCUUUCUGAGUCAUGCUUCCAACUACAGAACUCUGGGCUCUAGCCAGAUCUAUAGCAUAAGAAUUUGUCAUUGAAGUAAUAGACAAUUUUCACAAAUUCCAGCUCAGAAAGUGCAGGCUUGCUCUCGGCUAUCCCAUCUCUACUUUGAAUAGGAGGAUCUGAUCUUGGCUAAUAACAAAUUACUACCUCCACUAAGAACUUACUGUUACGAAUAUGUGUGGUACUACGUGUGUAUACAUGACAAACCCACAUUUGAAAAAGAACAAACUUAGAAAGAUGAGUUAAGGAUAAGGCCGGCACAUGCCCCUAAUAUCAAAACUCUGAGGAUGUGGCAAAUGAACUGUGGGUUCUAGAACAGCCUAGGAUACACAUAUAAUUAAUUACAAGACCUCCAGGGCACAUAGAGAGACCCUGUCUCAA